This 175-nucleotide small nuclear RNA is filed under the name Falco tinnunculus (common kestrel). Its description in RNAcentral is "U1 spliceosomal RNA (ENSFTIG00000006569.1)". The stretch from base 1 to 133 matches the Rfam family "U1 spliceosomal RNA". Rfam says of the family: U1 is a small nuclear RNA (snRNA) component of the spliceosome (involved in pre-mRNA splicing). Its 5' end forms complementary base pairs with the 5' splice junction, thus defining the 5' donor site of an intron. Lineage: Eukaryota; Metazoa; Chordata; Aves; Falconiformes; Falconidae. The record is from RNAcentral.
UUACUCACCUGGCAAGGGAGGCACCGUAACCAAGAAGGUGACUUCCCUGGGUUGGAACUUUCCUAACACUUUGGAUGUGCUAACCCUUCUGGUUGUCCCAGCUGAAGGAAACCUGGCUGUAUAUUUCUGCUAUGGGGAAAGUGUUGUGAAAACAUUGAAAAUAGUGUUUUUCUCA